GAACCUCUAUAGAGGACUGUGAAAAUUUGUGAUCUGGGCUUUUUAGACUCGUCUACCCAUGUACUGUCUGAAGCCAAAGCAGCACAUUGGUUGUCAGAUGUGAAAUAUAUUGGCAUUGUUUUCGGCUCCCCCACUCCACUAUAACUAAACUUAAGGAGGUAACCCCAUGUUCACAGCUGCCGCCGGGCGCAAGGUGUGUCGCAGCCGAGGAGGGUGGGUGGCAGCACUGGCGGCGCCCACUCGCCUGCUCUCCUCCCCUGGGUCAGGCCUGACCCUGGAGCGGAGCUGCGCCAGGCACAAGCACUGCAGCCAAGGUGCAACUCCUGACACAGAGCCAGGCUCCAGUGAAGGAACCUGCUGUGGAGGUGCCUGUUUGCACCCCAUCUCAAAAUUGUAUCCGGGGCCAUGGCACCCCCAGCACCCCCCCCAACUAUGCCUCUGGUAUCUCUGAGGUGUAAUGAAGGAAGGGUGGGCAGGUGGAAAAGAGCGUUGGCAACUUUUAACAGUGGUCCACCCUUAUAUGAGGGGUCUGUUUACUUAUCCUUGGUACAUGGUUUUAGCACAAAAGGUAUUUGUUCAGCAUCUUCUCUGUGUCUUGCCUUUAGACUGAAAAAGACGGUCUAAAAAUGUGAGCAGAAAUUGAUCUUAUCCUUUUACACUAACAUUAGUUCCCCAUAAAGUAAAAAAGAAGAAGAGAGAGUCAAACAUCACAGUGAAUGUAUGUAAAUUACAGAAAAAGAUGAAAUCUUGAGGAAGCUUUGAAAGAAUCAGAAGCUGCCAAAAGGCUUUUCAAAUUGGUAUGUGUGACAGUCUGGCAUUGAAAGUAUUUGCAUAACUUUCCCAUGAUCCCCUUUAGUUACUCCCCUCACCCCCAAAGAAAAACGAUUUUUUAUUUAUCCACUUCAUAACCUAGGGAUGUAUUUUCAUCUUGACAUUGUUCUUGGGUAUGGCAGCAUUUCCUAAUAGAUCAUGAGCCCCCAAAAACAUAAAAAGCGAGGAAGCACAUCAGUGUCUGCUUGUACUUUGCCCUCUCCCUGUGUAGGGAGUUUUUAAACAUUUGGCUCUGAACCAAGACACUUUAAUGUUCUGUGAAGUGUGGUUUCAUAAUAUAUUAUCAUUAUCUUCCAUGUUUGAAAUGUAAAAUAGCUCUUACUUGAUUGUUCCCUUGCUGAACUAAUUAGGUUAGUUUUUAGGUCCUGUUUCCAUUGUGUUCCAGAAUGAAAGGCUGUGGCAUUAAAUAGGAGUCAUUUUGUGCAUUUUGUAUAAGACUGACCCAGCUGCAGAGUUGGGGCUGUAGAGAAAGUAAUUCCAGGCCUGGCUUUACGGGUAAGGCUGCAAGGCUCAGCUCCCUUAAGCUCUGUUGAGAGUAGUUUACUUUCAAGUAAAGUCAUCUAGGACCAGAGCGGAAACUUGUGUUCUGCUUUUUAUUCCUCGGACAUGGGGUGGUUUUUCACUUUGUGGAGGAUGCUGUGUAUGAGAGAGGAAGGGAGAGGGAGAGGAUGCAUUUCAGACUCUGAUAGAUGUGAGGGCAGUAUGAAUGUGAACUUGGGGAGGGAAUCUGUUCUCAUGUUAGUGAGAAUUGCCAUCAUUGACCUGAAGGUUUGGCACAGAGACAAAAAGCGUGCUCUCUAUGUUCAUUUAUAUUCAUCUCAAGCUGAGAUCUAAGAUUAUUCCCUCUGAAUAGUGACUGUGGUAUUCUCUUUGUGUAACACAUGGGGAUUUACAACAGCCACUCACGCUUACAUAUGUGCGUGCGCACACAAAUUGCUGCUCACUUCAUACCCCUCAAGCAAAAAAUGCUGUUUGUUGCCCACAGGCCCAAAAAGACAGGAUGAGGAGGGGGGCAUAAGCAAGUGUGAAAUAUGUAUUAAUAUUUAAUCCAAGCAAUUUGGAUGAACUUGACGCUGCAAUUAGCUAGCAAUGCCCAUCUGUUGUGCACAGCACAACAACAACUUAUUAAAUAACUCAGAGAGAGGAAAGGAGCUGCCAAUUACCUUUCAAUUUAUUCCUUAAUAAAGCAUAUACAGUCUCUACAGAGAGAGAUCCAGAUGGUGAAGGAAACUCUCCAGGCCAUGUUGGUGCAGCUCCAGCCCGCUAAGAAGGCAGAGGAAGAUGCUGCUGUCGACUUCCUUGGUGGCAGCUGGUGUCCGGGAAAGGAAGGCUUAGAGGAAUAAUGAGCAGGAAGACUCGGCGGGGCGGGCAGGGGGAGAGAGCUUCAUUCAAAAGGGUUGCUUUCAAGAGCUGAAUACUGUCUUAGGAGGCCUCAAGGAUUCUUCCCAUCUCUGCGUAACUAAUAACAACUAAAUCAAUUAUUGGAUAUGGGGAGGGGGAGACCCUGAAAGACUCGCCUAACAAGUAUUGUAACUUGCAUGUUCACUGGGUCAGAGCUGGAAACAGUUUUUGAGGCCCUGUGUCCCAUGCACUCUUCGAUGUGACAGUUCCAAACUGAUGUGUCUGAACAGAUGCACCAAGGGUGAGACUUAUGCAACAAAGCUGUAGCAAUCUGCUUGUGCACUCCUUUCUAGUUCUGCCCAUACCUGACAAUGUAAUGUGGAGAUCUGCGCAUUCAGAAGUCACAAGUGCCUGUUCCAAAGAGCAGCGGCUAUUGCAAGUGGCUAGCCUUAAUUGCGUUGCCAGUGGUACAAUAUGUUGCUGUUCAGUGAUGGCCUUUUUGUUCAGAGGUGGGGAAGCUAUUGCUAGCCGUAGUUGGACUCUGAUUCCCAUCAGCCCUAGGCAACAUGGCCAGUGAUCCCGGAUGGCGUGAGUGAGGUUCAACAACAUCUGGAGGACUGCAGGUUCCUGCCCCGCCCCCAGUUUAGGGACAGGGUUGCAUUGGGGGUGUGGUGUGCACUCCAGUAUGUGAAAGCAGGAAUACCAAACCCAGCAAAUGAAGAAUGCCAGAUACCCUAAAUGUCAGGACUCCUCAAAACAAUGUACACAAAGAGGGAUGGCUUUUUCCACACAUGCAUCCAGCUUGGUGUCUGGGACACUUGCACAACCACUCAACCAGGGACCACUUAUGACCAUAGUAGUUUAAAGGAGAGUGAUGGGUAUUAUUACAUUUUCUAAGCAAUACAACACUGCAGCUGCUGGGAUGCAGUGCAAAUGUGAUUGCACAUGAAUGGAUUUGCUAUGUAGCAGGACAUUAAUGUUUCUACCACACAAGAGCCACAUCCACACCAUGCAUUUCAAGUGAUAUUCUACCACAUUGUUAUCCUUCCAGGGAGCUCCUGGAAUUGUAGCUCUGUGAGGAGAACAGGGGUCUCCUAACAACUCUCAGCACCCUUAGCAAACUACAGUUCCCAGGAAUAUUUUGACUCUCAAAAGUGGCAUAAUAGUGCUUUAAAUCUAUAACAUGGCCCUUACAGCACUAUGUGGAACAGCCCUGAAGAAUUGGUGUACUUUGUUCCAUGCAAUUUGUAAAACAUCCCUCCUCUCCCAAAUUACAUUUGGGGGGGGGGGACACUAAGUUGGAGUUUAAACUAAUGGCAAAAUUUUGCUAAAUGAAAUGAGGGCUGCAUAUACCCAUUGGCAUUCCAUAUAAUAGUGAUAAUUGAAAUCAAAGGCUGUCAUAAUAGCUUUUCCAACUAUAUUCAUUUAGUGUUACAAAGGGAGAAGAAAUUCUUGUUAAUUCUAAAGAGGAAAAUUAUUUAAAGCAAUAACCAAUGGUUUCUUGUUUUUUUUUUUUUAAAGCAAACUGAUGGUGCUUAGUGUAAUUAAAAGCUAGAUAGAUGCUUCACUGUUUUUAUAUAAAGACUUUAAAAAAAAUUCUUCUGAAGGUUUCUGCAAAUUGUAUGUUGAACUGGGUGUAUUUCUAACCAUAUAUAUCAACUCAGAAUGUACUUACCUGCAAACUCUGGUUUAUUUCAGGAUAAAAGGAAAGUGGGAUCAAAGUGGUAUUAAAAACAGAACCAUAGGAACAAUGAGCAGGAAGUGUCCAAAAUGCUGUCUAGCUCUUCAAAGACAGAUUCCCUUUCUUGAAGGGUAAGGAAGUAUUUGCCAUGGGCUGGCAAGCCUUGGUCAUCUCCUGUGUCAUUGUCAAUCACUCUACAGGGUGGCACCUGCAAAGACAGUUCUGAAAUUUCAGUGUCAGCAUGUAGAUAAGAUUUCAGUAUGUGGCAGCAUGGCUUCUCUGGUUCCAGCCUCAGGGAACCAUAUUACACCAACACCACAAAACUCCAGCAGUUGUCUGUUGCUGGCAAAGUUCAAGCUUCUGUUUUUCCUUCCUUCUAUAUAGACAGAGUUUGGGAUAUUUCAAGGAGCACUUUCUCUCCUAUGUGACUUCCAGAGAGCUGAAAUCUACAAAUGGCAAUUUACUUUGGGUAUCAAUGCUACUGCAACAAUGUUGACUUGCAGUAUGUUCCUUUGGUGUGUGUGAAUGAUUUCAUUAGGUCAACUCAUUUGCCUGGGCAAGUUGAGUGGACAGCUUCUCCCCAUAAUGGAAGGACAUUGUUUGUCUUCAUCUAUGUCAUAAUGUAGUCUCAUUUGCUUGGCUGCACUAUGUGAUCUCUGAUUGGCUGUGGUCAUAUGUUAAAGAUCCCUCCAAAUUAAGAGAGAGAGAGAGGAAGCAGGGGGCCGCUAGGGGGCGCAUCGAAAGAUGGCCGACAAUACCAUCUCUCCGGCUCACACGAGGUAAUUAAGAGGCUGUUAUGGGAGUAUGCAGCCUCCCUCGUUACCCCAAAGGAAUAGGGAAUGCUGCCUUGCCUGCUGUGCCCAUAAUUCACCCCCAGAUUCGAAAGGGGGUGAGGGCACUAGGCACAAAAGCCCUCGUGUGGGUCGGCUCUCCUGGACACUGUCUCUGAUCUGCGCAGCUAGUUGCAGGAGCUCAAAAUAAACAAUCAGAACAGAAGCAAACGCACAUACUUCAAGCGAUGAUCGGGAGUAAGGACUGCUAACUAAAGGGAUCUCUGGGAAGAGGAGCGAUGGGCUGGACUUAACAAUAAAUCAAGAAGAGGAAUAAAUCAAGAAGAUUUAUCAAAGGAUCGGUAUGUCGGAGCGAGACUGAAAAGGAGGGGGGGAGAAAAACUUUCCUUUUUUUGUCUUAUGUGAGUACCCAAUAAUCCCCCCCCCCCCAAAGAAUCGUUGCAAUUACUGAUCACAAGCAGGAGGAAUAAGAACUGUGUGGAAAUUAAUUACUAUGCAAGGACGUGGCUUAUGGGAGCAUCGGGAAAUGAAAGUAAGUCCUUUGUGACGCAGUUAUAAAAAGAGAUUUAUCAUGGCAGGCCCGCCCGCAGGAAUCCAGGGGGAGGAGGACUAUGGCUGUUACUAUGUUGGAGUGUGGGUUCGGCCUAGCAGGGCCCCCUGAGAAAAUUUAUGAGGGAGCGGCGGGCCUGGGGAGAUCAGGACAGACUGUCGGAAUGUUUUGUACGGAGGUGUUGAAAUGGCGUCUGUCUACUUUUAUGGCUCUUGGAUGAGUGUAAAAUCCACACAGGAAAUAAUGACGUUUGUCUUCAACCCGCUUGUGGAGAUUAUCAGAGAUCACAAAGAAAGGAGAU
Molecule: non-coding RNA, 5495 nt
Organism: Podarcis lilfordi (Lilford's wall lizard)
Lineage: Eukaryota; Metazoa; Chordata; Lepidosauria; Squamata; Lacertidae
Source: the annotation of a GenBank genome assembly